CAAAGGACACCGAAAUCUCCGCUUUAAUUUUACACCUGUGCGCACUACUUUGGACUCCGAGUUUUCUCUUUACGAUUUGGAUUUGACGAUAUGGGAUCUCCGUUCAGAUGUUGUGUUCGUUAUUGCACUACAACUCGCAGUGAUGAUUGCAAUGUUAUUUUGCAUUCAUUUCCCAACCCCGAUAAGGAAGAGGACAGAUUUAGAUCUUGGGUCUACUCAAUUGGGGGAGAUAUUCUGGUUUUGGAUAACCAAUUUGUAUUCAAAACAGAAAAAUAUGCCACAAGCACUUCGAAAGUAAAUACCAUACAAGAAGUUCAAGAUUAAGUGCUAAUGCAGUUCCUACUUUGCAUUUAAAAGGCAUACCUUGUAAAAGACCAUUAUCAGAUGUUACCAAUGUGACCAGUUACAAUCCAAUAUUUGCUCAACCUUCAACAUCCACAGCAGGUCCACUUCAUUCUGGUGAACCAAUAUCUAUCAAGACCAGUGAACUUGAGAAGCUAGCAGAAGCAGAUUUAGGCAAACCUGUAAAGACUUCAGGAGUAAAACAUAUUUCCCUAAAACAAGCAGCUGCAAUGACAAAAAAUGGUAAAUAUUUAUUUCAUAGAUUGUAUUAGUAUACUAUGUGGCGAUAAGGUUAUCACUAGGGAAAUUGUUUAUUUAUUUAAUACAAUUAUUAGAUCAAUAGUUAACUGUGUACUAUUUUAUGUGAUACUGAUAACAUUAUCGCUACACUGUAUAUUGCAGUAAGAAUUUCAAAAAUAGAGAAUAGAGUUUUUGGUCACAUAGAGAGGAAGAUUGGGCUGAAGUAGAUUUUCCUCCAAAAUAAUUAAUUGAAAAUCUCAUUAUGUCAAAGUCGCACUUGAAUAAGUUAAGUUUUCAAUUUCUAUGAAAGAGAUAAUUGACCUACCUUUUAACAGGUUUUUUUUUUUCAGUACCAAACUUAGCGAAUCUGCAAAAC
This is a long non-coding RNA of Helicoverpa armigera (cotton bollworm), 958 nucleotides long. RefSeq lists it as uncharacterized. Lineage: Eukaryota; Metazoa; Arthropoda; Insecta; Lepidoptera; Noctuidae. The record is from RefSeq and is a predicted model, not a curated record. The transcript has 5 exons.